UACCCGGGUCAUUCGGCUAGUAUGAUACAAGGGAGACAUUUUUUUGAAAACCAAAAAUUGAGCUAAACACUUGCCGUGCGCGAUUUGUCAUAAAUUCAGGUGGUAUUUCUUUUUUGUUCUUUUUGAGUGUUCCUACUAAGGUCAAUUUAUGCUCAUUCAAAAUAGCUACUGCAAGAGGAUAGCUGAUAUACCAAUUUUCAGUUGUUAUGUUGCGUUUUGACCCGGAGAUUGGAAGUGCAAGUCUUUCAACUACAUUGUUGGGAGAGUUACUUAUUUGAUAAGGGCCUUCAGGUUGCUUGCCAGCGUAUAUUCCAAGAUUCACCACAUAGCUUGUGUGGGACCAACAUAACACAUAAGUCUUUAUGCCAUAUUUUGCGGGUUUAUUGGGAAGGUACUGCUUGAAACUACAUCGACCUUUGAAUGGAAUAAUCUUUUUGUCUACUGUCAAAUAUUCCCCAGGAUUAUACAUAGUUUUGCAGUUUGUAACAAAUUCUUCAAAUAUUUCUAUAAUCUAGAAUAUAUUUGAAUAUAUAUUUCUAUAAUCUAGAAAUGUUUGAAGAAUUCGUUACAAACUGAUGUGUUAUGUUGGUCCCACACAAGCUAUGUGGUGAAUCUUGAAAUAUACGCUGGCAAGCAACCUGAAGGCCCUUAUAAUUAUAAUUAUUUAUAUUUUUAUAUUUAUAUUAUAAUUAAUUAUAAUUAGUGCUAGUUUGUCAACUUUUUUCUUAUUUCAUGUGUGGGCAAAUCAUCGAAACGCAAACACCUGAGUAAAAAGAAAAAUCGCUCGCGAUUCAUUACGGACUGGAAAAUUUCGAAUCCGGUUCCAUCAUCUUCCCAUAUUUCUUGAAAGGAAAGAUGGCAGGCCUUUCUUGUCCCAGAAAGUAACAAAAGUCCAAUAAGAACCCAAAUCUCUAUCUAAUUACUAUCUUUUACAUCCCUUUCUCGAGAAAAAUUUCCUCAAAUCCUUGAGAAAUAUUUAUUGGUGUUACACACUAUUUUUUCAACUAUUUUAUUUGAGAUAAAUUUUCUCUAAGCUCCAACAGCUGUUGUGAUGUUCUUUCCAUCUCUUUUUGGUCCAGUAAGGUGAGAAAUUAUGUUGUAAGAGCGAAUUCUUACCUUUGUACUUUGCCAUUCACUGGUCUUCCACCGCGUUGUCUGGUCUCUCCCCACAUAGAAACUAGAAGUUGAAGAACCAAAUUCUUCGUUUUCAGAUUCCAACUCGGAUUCAGAAUCAUGGUAGCUAUAUAUUUCGGUAUUUUCAUCAGAAGAUAUAUCUGAUGUGCCACCAACAACUUCAUUUUGGAUUCAGAAUUAGAGAGAGUUGAUGUAUCCAUGAAAUAUUUUUAAAAAUAAAUAGCAAAGGAUAGUUUUUGGAGAGCUAGGAAUAAAGAGUAAACAAAGAAUAUGUGAACAAAGCCAACAGAAAUACAUCCAUCUGAAUCUGAAACCUAAAAAAUAUAGGCGAGCUGUCACUCACGACCUGCCAAAGGUGUUACGUAAACACUCGCGCUGGGUGUAAACCACCCAGCUUAUCUGAUUACCAAAAAGUUAAAUGUUUAUUUUUGAAAUUCAUUAGGCCAAUCUAUGCUUCACCACAAAUAAUUAAGCUACCGAAACACUCAAGCUGCUAUAUUUAUUUUUUACAGUUUAGUAUCUUACUGGGUGUAAUACACCCAGCGCGAGUAAUUAAGGGUUAAAUCUAUAGAACCUAUUUCAAACGUUUGUGGUUAACGAUAUUUGAAAAGUGAAAGUAAUUUUGAUAUCCUUAUCUACAUAUUCCUGUCUGUAAUUUGAAAAGAACAUGGUGUAUAAUAAUAAAAUAAAUAAAGCUUCCAGGGCUAAGUUUCUUGUGUAAACCUUAUAUUUUCAAGCUUUCGACUUAUCAGUCCUUCAACAGGAGUAUUACAUUAAUAAAUUAAUGAUAAAUACUAUUAUUUACAUACAGUUAAACCUGUCAAUAGCGCCCCCUCUAAAUAGUGCCUUCCUCUCUAGUGCCCGAUUUUAAAUACGUAGUAUGAUGCGAUAGAGAGUGACCUGUCUAUAGCACCCAAUUUUGGUGAGUCCCAAGAGGGGGCGCUAUAGACAGGUUUAACUUUAUUAUAAAUAUUUAUGAUAUUGCGAGAAAUAUAUUACAACAUUUGGCCUUAAAUACCCAUUUCUUGGUUUUUCAAGAAGCCACUGGAACUAAAAAUCUUUUUGGUCACAGUGGUACAGCCUACUCCACGCUGACGAGCGCCAACAGCGCGAAACACAUGCGAUUCGUGGAUGGCUUUUCUUGAUUUAUUAAGAAAUUGGUUUGGCCAAAUAUCAUAGAACAGGCUAAAUCAAUGUUUAGUUGAUUUCUGUUCCACCAGAUAGCGCUCUACCUUCUGAAAAGCACAUGUGCUCCUGGUCAGGAUAUGCCUUUUUUAUUUUUAAUUACACGCAUAAACGUGCAUGGUGGAUGAUACGUGCUGGUUGAAUGAUAUCUUGAGAUUAUAAAUUAAAUUUAUGAUAAAUUCGUGAACUAUUUUUUGGAUCAAAAUAUCAUUUAUUUUACCAAUAUUUCAGUUGGCUGAACGCCAACCUUUAUGAAGGUAUUUUAACAUAUUAACCAUCAAAUAUACAUAUACACCAUCAAAAGUCUCAAGCUUUACAAGCUUGUUACCCUAAUAUGAUUGAGUGGAGAUUAGAAAGAAGAAGAUAAAAAUUUCUAAAAACCUUACGCAAGAAGUUUCGUUAUUCGUGAACUAUUGAGUGUUAUAUAUAGAAGUGUGCCUAUGGGAUACGUGGUGUAUUAACCAAGUUUGGUGUAUGCAGGAUUGGGACCGUGCUAAAGGACGUGAAGUUGUUCAGUCUUCAGCUUAUUUCACGGCCAGCAAAGCACGGUUCAGAAUAGCUAUGAAUAAAAUCAAACAAAUUAAAAAGGAGGAAUCAAUGAUCAAAGAGGAAUCAAAGAAUGGAAGGAAUUAGUAAGUUUGCAUAAAACAUCUAAUGUCUAUAUAUAUAUAUAUAUAUUGUAGUAAUUUGCGAAACAAUUGGCCUGAUGAUGAGCUAAUGCUUGAAAGCUGGCCAUUUUUACUUAAUAAAGAAACUUUUUGCAAUUAUUUGAUUGAUGUAUAUCGCAUAAAUCCUUUGCAAAUAUUUCACAAUCUAAUUUAAUGUCUACUCAAAAUUGCAAGAUUGCGGAUGUAGACAAAUUACUAAAAAAAAAACAUGCCUUAACUCUUUUUAUCUAUAAAUCAUAAAUUCAAUUGUUUCUAUUGGUAAAAAAAAGAAUUAUAACAAUAGUUUUUGGCAAUUUGUUUGUGUUUUUAUAUAUAUUGUAAAUUAUUAUCUCUACAGAUCUCAUUGUGCAAUGCUAAAAGUUAAAGGGCUUGGCUCAUCAGUAAUAAACCGUCUCAGCAGUUUUGCCAAAUUUAUCUUCAAACCGCAAUACUAUUUUAUUGGUUUUGUUAUAUAACCUGUAUUUAUUAAGGAAGACAGCUUAGAAGUGUUUAGGGAACCUAUGGACAUAUAGGUCUGUAGAGGUACAUACAUAUAAUUUAUAAUACAAUAUAAUGCGGCUUAUGAUUGUAAAACGACAUUGGAAAAUAUCCCGCAUGAGUUUCUUUUAAAUGAAAAAUCGAAAUUUAUUUUUAAGGAGAAAUAAAGGCUAUUUCUAACCUUAGAGAUGAGGUAUGAAAGGAUGAAUCCCUGGGCACUUUUAUUUUUCCGUUUAUCGUUACUCUUCACAAUUCAUCCUUUCAUACCUCAUCUCUAAAGUUAGAAAUAGUCGUUUUUUCUCUUUAAAAAUAAAUUUCGAUUUUUCAUUUAAAAGAAACCCUUGCGGGAUAGUUUCCAUUGUCGUUUUACAUACAUAUAAUUACAAUAAAAUGUAUCGAGUGAAGCUCUUAUGCAAAUAUGGUUUUAUAUCAAAGCCAUAGUUAGCUGAAGAAAAGCUUGCCAGAAUGCAUUCUUUAAUCAUAUAAAUCAAAAGAGUUUUUUUUUUUUUGCUUGUUCCUAGUACACGUGGUAUAGGCCACGAUAAUCAUGGUGGGUAGAAGUAGGCGACUGCUUUUACUGUAAGUGCACCAUAUGUCUACAUAUGUGAAAAGCAGUUCGACUUUUGCACCAACAAAUGUACCAGAGCCCCAAAAAAACGCAAACAAAAAGUCGUUGGACGAGUGGGUAACACCCUCGAUUCCCGUAUGUAUAUAUUCCCGUAAUGUAAUUCCUAGAUGAACCAUUCUGAUAUCACCCUUGUCUAACUCCAUCCUGAUGUGUUGAAGGGAGGAGGAGAAAGCGAGCCCAUGUUUCCACAACCUAAGGAAGUCCCCUUUCUUCAUUUCAAGGGAGCUAGGACGGCCCCUCCUACAAUCACGACCCCGCCCCUCUGCCACCAUAAGCCCUGCCUUAACAUCACUGACCCCACCUUUGUUGUUGUUGUUGUUUCUUAUCCCCUUGUGUAAAGAUUACACGAAUUCCAUGAGUGGUCUCAUGGAAUGGGGUGUAGGGGUGCAGCUUUUGUUGAUCAGGAUUUUUAAAGAGGUCUACUCCUCUUCUAACAAUGCUGCUGUUGGUCCGCGACUGCGUUAUUCUGCUUGUUUCGCAGCUGGCCUUCAUAUCUGAAGGUCGUUCCCCUAUCCGCCACCUGGGGACGCGCCCUAUAGCAGUCAGUUCUGCCAAGGGGACCCCACCUUUACUACCAUUGACCCUGCCUCCAAAUUUUUUGUACAUUAUUUGUAUAGAGAACUUUACAUUAAUAAAUGGUUAUUUAUUUUUAAAUAAUGGAUUUUGUUGUUAUAUAUACAGUGUUUUGUAAUUUAUUUAUUCACCAGAAUAUUUACACAUAUUUCCUACAAAUUCAAUAUGACAUUAAAUGCUCCAAGUGCAAUUGGAGGUUUGUGGUUUUACUUAUCCCUAGUACAUGUGGCCAUGAUAAUCAUGGUGGGUAGAAGUUAGCAAAGUGUAUGAUUUUUCAGCAAUAACGUUGUUGUUUCUUAUCCCCUUGUGUAAAGAUACACAAAUUCCAUGAGUUCAUGCUCCUCAAGCUGUUUUAUGAUAAGCAGCAGCAUCUCCCAAAGGUCCUGUUUAGUACAUCUAAUGCAACCCAAACUUUGUUCUGGAGCUGGAGGUGCCAAGCUACAUUUUAGGCAAGUAGGGUAGAUUUUAUAUAUUUUUUUUUCAAUAGCUUGAGAGAUGACCUGUUCUAAAUCCUGUUGUUUAAUGCUGUCUAUGUUCACCUUAGACAUGAAGUCUGCUCUUCCAAGAUUAUCUUAUGAUAUUUUCAUAUGAUUCUUUUAAAUGAAAUAAUUUUUCUACUGCUCUCUCUUCCUGCAACGAUGUCUAUGAAACCAAAAUACAAUCUUCGAACAGUGUGGUAGAUUAAACUGGAAAAAUCACUGGUAAGGUUCACCACUGAUGAGCCAGGCCCUUCUUGAGUUCGAGUGUCUUGCUUUAUUAUUAUCUCAAGCUUUCGGAUAUCACAAAGCCUCGCUAGAGGACACUUCUCAACAAAG
This is a non-coding RNA of Cordylochernes scorpioides, 5480 nucleotides long. The record is from the annotation of a GenBank genome assembly. Lineage: Eukaryota; Metazoa; Arthropoda; Arachnida; Pseudoscorpiones; Chernetidae.